AAGUCGUAACAAGGUUUCCGUAGGUGAACCUGCGGAAGGAUCAUUAGUGAAUUAACGGUGCUCUUGACUUUUAACAGUCGUAGAGGCCUGACCUCCACUUUCCACACUUGUGCAUUUGUUUUUUUAAAAGUGAAGUGAAAACCCCCUGGGAUUUCACUUUGCGCCUUUAUUCAAAACACUAGUCAAUGAAUGUUUUAAAAACCAUAACAAAAAAAAAACUUUCAACAACGGAUCUCUUGGCUCUC
RNAcentral lists this unclassified non-coding RNA (245 nucleotides) under fungal sp. RNAcentral describes it as "partial internal transcribed spacer region". The stretch from base 1 to 46 matches the Rfam family "Eukaryotic small subunit ribosomal RNA", at positions 1786 to 1831 of the family's 1831-position model. The record is from RNAcentral. Lineage: Eukaryota; Fungi.